GUGUUCACUUCAGCAGCACAUAUGCUAAAAUCGGAAUGAUACAGAGAGGAUCAGCAUGACCCCUGUGCAAGGAGGCCGUGCAAAUUCACGAAGUGUUUCAUAUUUUU
Gorilla gorilla gorilla (western lowland gorilla) is the source of this 107-nucleotide small nuclear RNA. NCBI's taxonomy places the organism in Eukaryota, Metazoa, Chordata, Mammalia, Primates, Hominidae. The record is from Ensembl.